CCAAUAUGGGUAUUCCUAGGUAUUCCAUGGGCUCUGCCCAAGUGGCGUAGGGGAACAUAGGUCUCUGCCCUGUGAUGUACCGUCCCAUUUCUGCUGCAUUGGAAAUGAAGCUGGGCCUUGAGUCUGUGCCUGCAUAUUCCUACAGCUUCUCGAGUCCUAUGGAUGAUGACUGAGGAGACAAACCAUGAGGGAAACAGAU
RNAcentral lists this small nucleolar RNA (199 nucleotides) under Canis lupus familiaris (dog). Its description in RNAcentral is "Small nucleolar RNA SNORA73 family (ENSCAFG00040017812.1)". It matches the Rfam family "Small nucleolar RNA SNORA73 family". From Rfam's summary of the family: U17 (SNORA73A and SNORA73B) also known as E1 belongs to the H/ACA class of small nucleolar RNAs (snoRNAs). Vertebrate U17 is intron-encoded and ranges in length from 200-230 nucleotides, longer than most snoRNAs. Lineage: Eukaryota; Metazoa; Chordata; Mammalia; Carnivora; Canidae. The record is from RNAcentral.